RNAcentral lists this ribosomal RNA (463 nucleotides) under uncultured bacterium. RNAcentral describes it as "partial 16S ribosomal RNA". It matches the Rfam family "Bacterial small subunit ribosomal RNA", at positions 28 to 507 of the family's 1533-position model. The record is from RNAcentral.
GACGAACGCUGGCGGCGUGCUUAACACAUGCAAGUCGAACGGAAAGGCCUUUUCGGAGGUACUCGAGUGGCGAACGGGUGAGUAACACGUGGGUGAUCUGCCCUGCACUCUGGGAUAAGCCUGGGAAACUGGGUCUAAUACCGGAUAGGACCGCACUUUAGUGUGUGUGGUGGAAAGUUUUUUCGGUGUAGGAUGAGCCCGCGGCCUAUCAGCUUGUUGGUGGGGUAAUGGCCUACCAAGGCGGCGACGGGUAGCCGGACUGAGAGGUUGGUCGGCCACAUUGGGACUGAGAUACGGCCCAGACUCCUACGGGAGGCAGCAGUGGGGAAUAUUGCACAAUGGGCGCAAGCCUGAUGCAGCGACGCCGCGUGGGGGAUGACGGCCUUCGGGUUGUGAACUCCUUUCGCCAGGGACGAAGCGUUUUGUGACGGUACCUGGAGAAGAAGCACCGGCUAACUACGUG